Molecule: ribosomal RNA, 440 nt
Filed under: uncultured bacterium
Lineage: Bacteria
Description: partial 16S ribosomal RNA
Rfam family: Bacterial small subunit ribosomal RNA
Source: RNAcentral
CCUACGGGAGGCUGCAGUGAGGAAUAUUGGGCAAUGGAGGCAACUCUGACCCAGCCAUGCCGCGUGAGUGAAGAAGGUUUUCGGAUUGUAAAGCUCUUUCGGAUGUGACGAUGAUGACGGUAGCAUCUAAAGAAGCCCCGGCUAACUUCGUGCCAGCAGCCGCGGUAAUACGAAGGGGGCAAGCGUUGUUCGGAAUUACUGGGCGUAAAGGGAGUGUAGGCGGCAGUGCAAGUCUGGAGUGAAAGGCGGGGGCUCAACCCCCGGACUGCUCUGGAAACUGUACGGCUGGAGUGCAGGAGAGGUAAGUGGAAUUCCUAGUGUAGCGGUGAAAUGCGUAGAUAUUAGGAGGAACACCAGUGGCGAAGGCGGCUUACUGGACUGUAACUGACGUUGAGGCUCGAAAGCGUGGGGAGCAAACAGGAUUAGAUACCCCAGUAGUC